RNAcentral lists this ribosomal RNA (321 nucleotides) under uncultured bacterium. Its description in RNAcentral is "bacterial SSU rRNA". It matches the Rfam family "Bacterial small subunit ribosomal RNA", at positions 30 to 352 of the family's 1533-position model. The record is from RNAcentral.
AUUGAACGCUGGCGGCAUGCUUUACACAUGCAAGUCGAACGGCAGCGCGGGCUUCGGCCUGGCGGCGAGUGGCGAACGGGUGAGUAAUAUAUCGGAACGUACCCAAGAGUGGGGAUAACGUAGCGAAAGUUACGCUAAUACCGCAUACGAUCUAAGGAUGAAAGCAGGGGAUCGCAAGACCUUGUGCUCCUGGAGCGGCCGAUAUCUGAUUAGCUAGUUGGUGAGGUAAAGGCUCACCAAGGCAACGAUCAGUAGCUGGUCUGAGAGGACGACCAGCCACACUGGAACUGAGACACGGUCCAGACUCCUACGGGAGGCAGC